AACAGCCGCGGUAAUUCCAGCUCCAAUAGCGUAUAUUAAAGUUGCUGCAGUUAAAAAGCUCGUAGUUGAAUUUCGGGAUCAAUAUGUUGGUCGUGCCUCGGUACGUACUGGCUUAUUGGUUUCUCCCUUCUGACGAACCAUGAUGUCAUUUAUUUGGUGUUAUGAGGAAUCAGGACUGUUACUUUGAAAAAAUUGAGUGUUUAAAGCAAGGCUCACGCUUGAAUACAUUAGCAUGGAAUAAUGAAAUAGGACGUUUGAUUCUAUUUUGUUGGUUUCUAGGAUCGACGUAAUGAUUAAUAGGGAUGGUUGGGGGCAUUAGUAUUCAAUUGUCAGAGGUGAAAUUCUUGGAUUUAUUGAAGACUAACUACUGCGAAAGCAUUUGCCAAGGAUGUUUUCAUUAAUCAAGAACGAAAGUUAGGGGAUCGAAGACGAUCAGAUACCGUCGUAGUCUUAACCAUAAACUAUGCCGACUAGGGAUCGGAUGAUGUUAAUUUUUAAUGACUCAUUCGGC
Molecule: ribosomal RNA, 511 nt
Filed under: uncultured Glomus
Lineage: Eukaryota; Fungi; Glomeromycota; Glomeromycetes; Glomerales; Glomeraceae
Description: SSU rRNA
Rfam family: Eukaryotic small subunit ribosomal RNA
Source: RNAcentral